GACGAACGCUGGCGGCGUGCUUAACACAUGCAAGUCGAGCGGAAAGGCCCUUCGGGUACUCGAGCGGCGAACGGGUGAGUAACACGUGAGUAACCUGCCCCAGACUUUGGGAUAACCUCGGAAACGGGGCUAAUACCGAAUAUGACCUCCUUCCGCAUGGUUGGUGGUGGAAAGUUUUUCGGUUUGGGAUGGACUCGCGGCCUAUCAGCUUGUUGGUGGGGUAAUGGCCUACCAAGGCGACGACGGGUAGCCGGCCUGAGAGGGCGACCGGCCACACUGGGACUGAGACACGGCCCAGACUCCUACGGGAGGCAGCAGUGGGGAAUAUUGCACAAUGGGCGGAAGCCUGAUGCAGCGACGCCGCGUGAGGGAUGACGGCCUUGGG
This 385-nucleotide ribosomal RNA is filed under the name uncultured bacterium. RNAcentral describes it as "bacterial SSU rRNA". It matches the Rfam family "Bacterial small subunit ribosomal RNA", at positions 28 to 421 of the family's 1533-position model. The record is from RNAcentral.